Molecule: long non-coding RNA, 313 nt
Organism: Cryptotermes secundus
Lineage: Eukaryota; Metazoa; Arthropoda; Insecta; Blattodea; Kalotermitidae
Exons: 3
Source: RefSeq, a predicted model, not a curated record
UCGUUAAACCUCAAAGGCUCAAAGGCAGUCCAAUAGUCCAAUACGUAACUGCGUAUUUGAGUAGAUGACGUCCAGCUGGCUAGACGUGUUCUGAUAUCCGCUACCUGCUACACAAACUCGAAGAAGUAUUUAAGAUACGUAAAUGUCCCUGCAACCAACUUCAUCGGAUGAAGAAGAACAAUCUUUUGCUCGAGGAGCAAAAAAAGAACAUCGAAAAUACUCUGCUUUAUCGAGCAGGAGCUGGAGGACCAAGAGUUUCCAAAAGAGGGCAGAUUUUGAAUCCAAGAUUUCUUUUUCAACAUAUACAAUAAAU